This 114-nucleotide non-coding RNA is filed under the name Actinokineospora spheciospongiae. RNAcentral describes it as "TPP sequence". It matches the Rfam family "TPP riboswitch aptamer (THI element)". Rfam says of the family: Vitamin B(1) in its active form thiamin pyrophosphate (TPP) is an essential coenzyme that is synthesised by coupling of pyrimidine and thiazole moieties in bacteria. The previously detected thiamin-regulatory element, thi box was extended, resulting in a new, highly conserved RNA secondary structure, the THI element, which is widely distributed in eubacteria and also occurs in some archaea. The record is from Rfam by way of RNAcentral. Lineage: Bacteria; Bacillati; Actinomycetota; Actinomycetes; Pseudonocardiales; Pseudonocardiaceae.
CGGGGUUGCCACGGGAGUCCGGUAUCGGCCGGGCUGAGAGGAGGGCCACCCAGCCCUCGACCGUACGAACCUGAUCGGGGUCAUGCCCGCGCAGGGAGGUCCUCGUGGUGUGCA